GGGAGGGAGGAAGGAAAGGAAGGAAGAGACAAGGUAGGUAGGAAGAAAGGAAGGAAGAUAGGAAGGAGGGAAGGAGGGAGAUUGGAUUGAAAUGAAAAGGAAGGAAGAAGGAAGGGAGGAAGGAAGGAAAAGGAAGGAGAUGGAAAUAGGAAGGAAGAAAGGAGGAAAUAGAAAGGAAGGAGAUUGAAAUGAAAAGGAAGGAAGGAAGGAAGAAGAUGGAAAUAGGAAGGAGGAAAUAGGAAGGAAGGAAGGAAGGAGAGUGAAAUGAGAAGGAAGGAAGAAGAUGGAAAUAGGAAGGAAGGAGAUGGAAAUAGGAAGGAGAAAAUAGGAAGGAAGGAAGGAGAUUGAAAUGAAAAGGAAGGAAGGAAGAAGAUGGAAAUAGGAAGGAAGGAGAUGGAAAUAGGAAGGAAGGGGAUGGAAAUGAAAAGGAAGGAAGGAAGAAGAUAGAAAUAGGAAGGAAGGAAGGAGAUGGAAAUGAAAAGAAGGAAAGAAAGAAGGAGAUGGAAAUAGGAAGGAAGGAAGGAAGAUUAUAAUGAGAGUGAGGCGAGGGUGUGUGGGAAGUCCUGCCUUAGCACUUGGCCACCAUAAGUGCCUCCGACAUGAGUGACAUCAAGCUGGCCACACACCCCCAGCCCCACCCCACCCCCUCCACGUCAAACACAACCCUGAUGCGGCCCUCAAUGAAAUCGAGUUUGACACCCAUACUCUGGAGGUAGCCAGAGGGAGGAAGGGGGGAGAGAGAGGGGGGGAAUUCUGAGUGAAGCACCUGGUGGAAAAUUAAACCACACGCUCCCGGUUUGAGUUGCCUGGGAGCCAGCGCUGCCCCUCGAUGCUUAUCAAAUGUGUCUUCAGGGUGCGCGAUGCGACACACGCCGGCGUGUGUGCACACACAAGACAAGGGAGGUAAUUAGAUGCCAGAGAAGCUACUGGGGAGGGGGAGAAUUUUGCAUGCGAGCUGUCUAAUCGCAUCCCCAUUAACCGUUGGAACCGCUGGCUGAAACCGGAGCGAGGCCAGUUGGAAAGAUACUCGCUGUCAUCAAGCAUCCUUGGCGAGGAUUAGAAGAGCCUUGGUGGCGCAGCUGACUAAAGUGCUGUUAAAGUAGCACCAGCUGCCUGCAAUUACUGCGAGUUCGAAUCUCACCAGGCUCAAGGUUGACUCAGCCUUCCAUCCUUUCGAGGUAGGUAAAAUGAGGACCCGGAUUGUGGGGGCAAUAAGCUGACUUUGUAUAAAUAUACAAAAAGUAUGAAGGCUAUUGCUUAACGCAUUGUAAGCUGCCCUGAGUCUCCGGAGAAGGGCGGCAUAUAAAUCAAAUUUAAAAAAAAAAAGAAAAGAAAGAGAAAGAAGGAA
Pantherophis guttatus is the source of this 1348-nucleotide non-coding RNA. NCBI's taxonomy places the organism in Eukaryota, Metazoa, Chordata, Lepidosauria, Squamata, Colubridae. The record is from RefSeq and is a predicted model, not a curated record.